CGGGGUGUGGCGCAGUUGGUAGCGCGCUGUGUUUGGGACGCAGAGGUCCGCGGUUCGAGCCCGCGCACCCCGAC
Molecule: transfer RNA, 74 nt
Filed under: Chloroflexota bacterium
Lineage: Bacteria; Bacillati; Chloroflexota
Description: tRNA-Pro
Rfam family: tRNA
About the family: Transfer RNA (tRNA) molecules are approximately 80 nucleotides in length. Their secondary structure includes four short double-helical elements and three loops (D, anti-codon, and T loops).
Source: RNAcentral